CAGUAGCCGCGGGAAAACGGAGGGUGCAAGCGUUAAUCGGAAUUACUGGGCGUAAAGCGCACGCAGGCGGUCUGACAAGUCAGAUGUGAAAUCCCCGGGCUUAACCUGGGAACUGCAUUUGAAACUGUCAGGCUGGAGUCUUGUAGAGGGGGGUGGAAUUCCAGGUGUAGCGGUGAAAUGCGUAGAGAUCUGGAGGAAUACCGAUGGCGAAGGCAGCCAUCUGGCCUAAUACUGACGCUGAGGUACGAAAGCAUGGGGAGCAAACAGGAUUAGAUACCCGCGUAGUCCCUGUCUCUUAUAC
RNAcentral lists this ribosomal RNA (301 nucleotides) under uncultured bacterium. RNAcentral's name for it is "partial 16S ribosomal RNA". It matches the Rfam family "Bacterial small subunit ribosomal RNA", at positions 509 to 807 of the family's 1533-position model. The record is from RNAcentral.